Molecule: ribosomal RNA, 478 nt
Filed under: uncultured bacterium
Lineage: Bacteria
Description: partial 16S ribosomal RNA
Rfam family: Bacterial small subunit ribosomal RNA
Source: RNAcentral
GACGAACGCUGGCGGCGUGCUUAACACAUGCAAGUCGAACGGGUUUUAGUAGACAGAAGCCUCGGCUACAGAUUACUAAUGAGAGUGGCGAACGGGUGAGUAACGCCUGAGCAACCUGCCUAUGACAGUGGGAUAGCCUCGGGAAACCGGGAUUAAUACCGCAUCAAAUCGUAGAAACCCAUGUUUUAACGGUUAAAGAUUUAUCGGUCAUAGAUGAGCUCGCGUCUGAUUAGCUAGUUGUUGAGAUAACGGCCCACCAAUUCGACAAUCAGUAGCCGGUCUGAGAGAAUGAACGGCAACAAUAGAACUGAGACAAGAGCCAAAAUCCUACGGGAGGCAGAAGUGAGGAAUAAUGCAAAAGUAGCGAAACACGAAGGAAUCGACGACGUGUGAACGAAGAAAAUAAGCGUAUGGAAAAGUUAUAUCCAAUGGGAAGAUAAUGACAGUACAAUACGAGAAAGCGCCAGAUAAAUCAGUG